This 206-nucleotide unclassified non-coding RNA is filed under the name Hevea brasiliensis (rubber tree). Lineage: Eukaryota; Viridiplantae; Streptophyta; Magnoliopsida; Malpighiales; Euphorbiaceae. The record is from RNAcentral.
AUUUUGGCAGCAAAAAUUUGUGUUUGUUUAUGAUCAAUCAUGCUUACUGUUAAUAAUCAUGACUCGUGAAGUUCUAUUUAUGAUUUUUAUUACUUCUUCACUUGCACCUCCGUUUCAAAUCAAAGUUGCUGUGAACCUUUUAUUUUAAGCAUUGUACAUGUAUGAAUUGUUUGGAGAAGCCAAGAUAAGUCAUGGAGCACAGAAAG